UAAAAGGCGCUAGGCGAGCGCCACCUAAUUUAUAUAUAUAUAUAUAU
Non-coding RNA from Ipomoea nil (Japanese morning glory), 47 nucleotides. Lineage: Eukaryota; Viridiplantae; Streptophyta; Magnoliopsida; Solanales; Convolvulaceae. The record is from Rfam.